RNAcentral lists this ribosomal RNA (409 nucleotides) under uncultured bacterium. RNAcentral's name for it is "bacterial SSU rRNA". It matches the Rfam family "Bacterial small subunit ribosomal RNA", at positions 509 to 916 of the family's 1533-position model. The record is from RNAcentral.
CAGCAGCCGCGGUAAUACGGGGAGAGCAAGCGUUGUUCGGAAUUACUGGGCGUAAAGGGCGCGUAGGCGGCCUUCUAAGUCAGACGUGAAAUCCCCAGGCUUAACUUGGGAACUGCGUCUGAUACUGGAGGGCUCGAGUGCGGGAGAGGGAUGUGGAAUUCCAGGUGUAGCGGUGAAAUGCGUAGAUAUCUGGAGGAACACCGGUGGCGAAGGCGGCAUCCUGGACCGACACUGACGCUGAGGCGCGAAAGCUAGGGGAGCAAACGGGAUUAGAUACCCCGGUAGUCCUAGCCCUAAACGAUGAGUGCUUGGUGUGGCGGGUAUCGAUCCCUGCCGUGCCGAAGCUAACGCAUUAAGCACUCCGCCUGGGGAGUACGGCCGCAAGGCUGAAACUCAAAGGAAUUGACGG